This 463-nucleotide ribosomal RNA is filed under the name uncultured bacterium. RNAcentral describes it as "partial 16S ribosomal RNA". It matches the Rfam family "Bacterial small subunit ribosomal RNA", at positions 28 to 507 of the family's 1533-position model. The record is from RNAcentral.
GAUGAACGCUGACAGAAUGCUUAACACAUGCAAGUCUUUGGCGAAGCUGUGCUCGCCCAGCCUAGCCAAGGCGGACGGGUGAGUAACGCGUAAGGAACUUGCCCUGCAGUCAGGGAUAACAGACGGAAACGACUGAUAAGACCUGGUAAAGUCAGGCGGACUCAUGUCCAGCCUGAUGAAAAGAGAUGCUGCAGGAGAGCCUUGCGUCCUAUUAGCUUGUUGGUGGGGUAACGGCCCACCAAGGCGAUGAUAGGUAGCCGGCCUGAGAGGGUGGACGGCCACAAGGGGACUGAGAUACGGCCCUGACUCCUACGGGAGGCAGCAGUGGGGAAUAUUGGACAAUGGGGGCAACCCUGAUCCAGCAAUUCUGUGUGCACGAUGAAGGUUUUCGGAGUGUAAAGUGCUUUCAGCAGGGAAGAAAAAAAUGACGGUACCUGCAGAAGAAGCGACGGCUAAAUACGUG